UACGGGGGGGGCAAGCGUUGUUCGGAAUUACUGGGCGUAAAGGGCUCGUAGGCGGCCAACUAAGUCAGACGUGAAAUCCCUCGGCUUAACCGGGGAACUGCGUCUGAUACUGGAUGGCUUGAAUCCGGGAGAGGGAUGCGGAAUGUGUCGUGUAGCGGUGAAAUGCUUAGAUAUGACACAGAACACCGAUUGCGAAGGCAGCUAGCUAGACCGACAUUGACGCUGAGGCACGAAAGCGUGGGGAUCAAACAGG
Molecule: ribosomal RNA, 253 nt
Filed under: uncultured bacterium
Lineage: Bacteria
Description: partial 16S ribosomal RNA
Rfam family: Bacterial small subunit ribosomal RNA
Source: RNAcentral